ACAAGGCAAUGUCCCAGCAAGGCUAAUCACAUGAACUACCUGCCAAUUUGGCUAUCCAAUCAAAAAUGCAACCAAACAAAUCAAUCUCAUUUGGGGUCAAAGGCAGUUACUUAAAGAAACAUUCAGUGAGCACAAACAGCUAAAGAAGAGAGAGCGAGUACAUAGCAUGAACUGCAUCCACCGAUCUGUGGAAGGAACACCUAGACACCCAGUUUGAUCCGACAUGCAAUUAAUUAGACGAUUAGAGCGAGCUAAGUGCUGCAUAGACCAGUAUUGCCUUGUCUGGCAUCAUGGUAGCAGCAAGGAAGCAGACCACAUAAUCAGGGAGCAAUCAUGCACAAUGGGGACACCAUGGCCUAGCUCGCUAGUACUAGCUGCAGCUGCAACUACAGUACUGCAGCUAUACUGCCACAGCUAGCUAUGCCAAGUGUUAAGAGGAGAGACCAAGGGAGAGAAGAAUCUGAUACUAUCUCACCUCAAUGGAGGCCAAGAGCUGCAAAAAUGAUGUGAAUCCUAACAGCGAUUGCAUUUCACAUGUUUGCAUGGUCACAGGUGUUAUGUGGAGGGAUGAAUUGGGGUGCUCAACGGGAAGGCGAGGCUGCAGGCCUCGCCGCCCCAGAGCUUGGGUAAGGUCAAACAGAGAAGAGGGGAGACUAGAGAUAGGUUUAACUUCUUUCUUAAUUAAUUCCACAUGACUGUGGUGCCUCUCCUUACAUAGAGCCAGCUCCUAACAAACAUCCUAACAAAAGGCCUAACAAACCUCCUACAACCUUAUCUAAUAAUGAGAGGGGCUGAGUUCUGCCCAUAACAUCUCCAUCCCUCCUUCGAGACAGCUCGUCCUCGAGCUGCGGUGGAAGCCAUGCCUAAAGGUUGAGGGGUGCCGAUCACCCAUGUCAUCCUAGUCCCCUUUCCCUCCUCCUUCGGAAGCAGCUCGCCCGCGAGCUGCAAGCUUGUCUUCACAUGAUGUCCUAUUAUUAAGCCUUUUACAUCUCGGCUCCUAACAUUAUUUGGAAAGAAUAAAUCUAAAAUUAUUUUGGUGUUCCAUGCCAUUCUUCUGCUGCCAAGCUCAGGUGGGCCCCAUCCAGAAGAACAUAGAGGAAGGACGCCAUACCAAUGUGACUGUGUGUUCCAAAAACCACAAAUGUCCUGCUUGCUGUCAUGUUUGCCAAAGGAGACCAAAGCUGUGUGGUGCCUAGACAACUGCAGCCCACUCCAAUAGCCCCUGGCCCAAGACAUGUUGUAUGGAUCUUGUCUUCUCAACAGAGGAUCACGUGACCAGCCAAAAAGACACGGUCCAGUUGACCCACCGAACAGCAGGGACGAACGAGGAACCGUUCCCAUAUCUCACGCCGCCACCAGAAGUCACAUCUCUUGCGCCGUGCAUGCCGCAAUCACUGCAUGAGGACGCGCCGUACCGGCUAUGCGCACCAGCCGCAUGUGAGAAGGGCUGACGCCGUGGGGUCGCGAGGAACCAGCUGCCUCCUGCGCCGACUCUCGUGGCACACCUGCUGCUCAUGUAGACGGCGCCACCCCCAGGAGGUUGACACGCGUGUUGCUCACGCUGUGCUGCAGCAGCUGCGCCCCCUUUCCCGGCGCGCGUGGCCCGCCUGGAUCCCACGCCGUUGGCGCCGCACGUGAUGCUCCCCGUCGUCGAGCAACGCUCAGCGUAAUCGCAGCCGCCGCUCGAGGAAGCUGCUGGAAGAUCCCUCGCUGCUGCUGUGGUCGCAGAAGGGAACGGUGACGACGCGACACGAUGGUCUUCCAUGGCGAUGGCUGAGUUGAUGGUGCCCCAGCGAGCGCCGACCGGACUGUUGUGAGGUGUGACAGCACUGCCGCAGCCUCGGAUGCGAACGACAACUGAGAAAAUGGCACUACAGCCAGGGGCUGCAGCACCUCCGCCGAUUGGACCGAUGGCGGUGAAGAGGGCAUCGUCAUCACCGGUUCCUCCACCGCAGCCGCGAACAGGGACGAUGGCAGAGAAGGCGGUGCCGUCGCGAGUGGCGGAGAGGGCGUCGUCGUCGUAGUUUCCAACGCCACCCCCUUGGCCUCAAAACCCGCACGGAGUGCCAACACCAAUUCUGUCACCUUGUCGAGCCCAGCUGUGAUCUCCGUGAUGGAGGUCUGCAUGGCCCUGGAGGAUUGGCGCAGCAUGUGGAGGUCAUGGAUGGCAGGCAUGGUGAAUGGCGUGGUGGGGUGGAUGUUAUGUGGAGGAAUGAAUUGGGGUGCUCAACGGGAAGGCGAGGCCUGCAGCCUUGCCGCCCCAGAGUUUGGGUGAGGUCGAACAGAGAAGAGGGGAGACUAGAGAUAGGUUUAACUUCUUUCUUGAUUAAUUCCACAUGACUGGUGCCUCUCCUUAUAUAGAGCCGGCUCCUAACAAACAUCCUAACAACCUUAUCUAAUAAAACCUAACAAACCUCCUACAGCCUUAUCUAAUAAAGCCUAACAACCUUAUCUAAUAAUGAGAGGGGCUGAGUUCUGCCCAUAACAACAGGCCAAUCUGAUCAAAAGUAAUCUAACUCCGUUAGUUUAUGAUUGUAACAUCCUAAGUUCCACUAAUUAAAUUUAUCAGUAUUUUUCACAUAUUUUCCUUUAUUUGGAUAGGAAUGUGCUAGGUUAGCCUAAAGAUAAAAAAAUAAAUAUCAAAUGCAUGCAAUAUACAUAGUUCGUAGGAAAUCCGCCAUUGUUUAAAAAUAGCAAUGAGAAAAAUAUGGUACAUUUGCACUUGAAAAUUCAAGGAGACGUAUAACCGACUCCUCUCCAAAGUUAUUUGUUCAAAUCCCACACCAUAGUGGAUCUUUUAGAUAUCAAAAUAUUUCACAUAAAAUCACGCCAUUACGUAAGUAUAAAUGUACGGUAGUAAUAUCUGAAUUUACCA
RNAcentral lists this long non-coding RNA (2875 nucleotides) under Oryza sativa (Asian cultivated rice). Its description in RNAcentral is "long non-coding RNA (OSAT_LNC000364)". The record is from RNAcentral. Lineage: Eukaryota; Viridiplantae; Streptophyta; Magnoliopsida; Poales; Poaceae.